UUCUCUCUUUUUUUUUUAAAAAAAAAUUGUAUGUGUUGCUGUUUGUUCUUCCCCUUCCUUCCUCGCUUUGUCUUCAAGUUAGGUUGGUGUCUUGGGCAUGUGUAAAUUAAUUUUCCGUGCGGACAGCUACUGAUCCGAGCCCUAACCCUAAUUUAUCUCCCAUUCAAGGAGGAAGAGAGAUUUUCUAUGGAUGUUCUCUAGUAUUUGCCCUUACUCUGGGCUUUUCUGUCUAUUGUGUGUGUGUGUGUGUGUG
This 253-nucleotide unclassified non-coding RNA is filed under the name Hevea brasiliensis (rubber tree). Lineage: Eukaryota; Viridiplantae; Streptophyta; Magnoliopsida; Malpighiales; Euphorbiaceae. The record is from RNAcentral.